CUAGGUCAAAAGCCAAGUAGCGACUCGAGAGUGAAAGCGACGGCAAGAGAUGGCGGAGGAGGAGAAAGAGUGGGAGGACUGGUGCUUCAUCUGCAAAGAGGGUGGGAACCUAAUGCUCUGCGACUACAAGGACUGUCCGAAAGCUUAUCAUGCCUCUUGCGUUGAAAAUGAUAUUUCAGCUGGAUAGAGUGACGAUUCUUCUUAUAUCUGCGGUAAAAAAAAUGGCACAGUUGCUACUUGUGUGGGAAGAAACCGAAGCUACUCUGUCUCUGUUGCCCAAAUUCUGUAUGUGAAGGCUGUGUCACUCAUGCUGAGUUUAUUCAACUUAGAGAGAAUAAAGGGUUAUGCAACCAGUGCCAGGAGUAUGUGGUUGUUUUAGAAGAGAUUCAAAAGUAUGAUGCUGCUGAGGAUAAGCUCGACCUGACUGAUACAAAUACAUUUGAGUGUUGGGAGAUGGCAAAACAACAAGUCACAGAACAUAGUCGCCAAGCUGAAGCACGCAGUUCACAAAGGAAAGUUGCCAAGUUAAAGCACAAAGAUGAUCGCAGAUCUUCACUCAAUGAUGCAUGCACUUCAAAGUCACAGAACAUAGUCGCCAAGCUGAAGCACGCAGUUGAUAGUAAGCAUCCACUAUCUGACCACAAAGUUGAUGAUGCAGAAGAUUGUAAAACGGUGGGCAAAAACAAGAACAUGGUGUUUAUCAAACGGUGGGCAAAAACAAGAACAUGGUGUUUAUCAGAUGGGGUUCAAAGCCCCUCAUUGAUUUCCUAACAUCAAUAGGGGAAGAUACCAGACGUGCAAUGUCACAGCGUAGAUUGCACGUCUACGUUGUGAUGAGAAGCUGUACUCUAUCUUCGGGAAGAGGUCUGUGAAACAAAGAAAGAUUCAUAGACUUUUAGAUGCUCACUUCACAGACAACCUUGAGCAGUUGGAAUGUAACACACGUUCGGAACGUGGCUUCAGUGGAAAGAAUGAAAGGGUUUCCCUGCCGUUCAAGAAGAAGCAGAGAGUAGAAAGGUCACAUGAGAAGGAAGUGAAACCUCAAAUCUGGCCAACCAGACCUGUGAAAAUGAAGUGAAACCUGAAAUGAAGCCAACGGACACUUGUGUAAAGGAAGCGAAACCUGAAAUGCGGCCAACUGGUUACGCUGCAAUCAAUGCAGAUAAUGGAAAGCGUGUUUAUCUGCGGAAGAGUUUAGUUCUAGAGUUAUUGAAGAAGCAUAAAGAGGGAAAAAGGUAGUGGGGAAAGUGAAGAAUGCCCUAGGGACCGUAUAGCGUACCAGAUCUUGCAGGUUACAGGCAUUAAAACUGCUGAUGACCAAAGUCAGGGCCUGCUUCUCUGUCUCUGUUGCCCACAUUCUGUAUGUGAAGGUUGUGUUAGUCGUGCUGAGUUUAUUCACCUGAAAGAGAAUAAAUGGUUAUGCAAUCAGUGCCAGGAGUAUGUUGUUAUUUUAGAAGAGAUUCAAAAGUAUGAUGCUGCUGGGGUGGGAAUGUUUGUUGCGUUAGCCAUCGUUUUGCGUUCUAAACCUGAGGCUUUGACUACUGUCUUGCCGACUCUGAGAGUGAAUCAGUCCUAAGUAUCAGGGACACGACAAGCUUCCCUUUACUGUUUGGAUGAUGGCUCAGGCCUCCUCCCGAGGUGAUCUAUGUCUUGGCUUGUAUUCAUGGUCACAUAACUUGCUACGCUAGUCAGAGUCAGUAGUAAGAAGCGUUGAUGUAUCCCUCAGUCAUUGGAUCUCAUCCUUCAAUUCGUUGAGGAGACUCGGUCGCGUCCAAGGGCUCGGACCAUACUUGUAGAUGGAGGUCUUACGGAAGGAGAGCCGCUGAAUCCACUUACUUCGUUUGAGAUCUUGGUGCGUCGCACAUUCCAGCUUCAGACGAUGUGAAGUAUGUGACUCAUCAAGGAAUGGAAUUGUUACAUGAGGGAGUCCGUUACCUGGUUAGUUCUCGUACUAAUAGCUUCCUGUGUCUUGUGAACUUGGGCUUGAAUCUGGUGCAAAUGCAAUCAUUUCAAAUGGAAGGGUGAGUUUUCCUGUGGAUGAGAGGACAUUUAUGAGUCAUGAUUUGCACCUUCUUGAGUCAAUGGAGAUCAAUCGAAGGGUAAAAGCCCUGUUCAAGAAAUUAUUGAAGGGUGUGGAUCCUGAUUGACUGACUAGUACAUAUUUUAGCCAUGUCUUCAUGCUUGGGUCAUCUGCAAUGUUAACAUGGGACCGUAGUUCUGAAAGUGCACGAUUUGAGGUGUUGAGUUCGGAAUACAGGUAUGCAUACAGGGUUUCUGGAGAGAACAUUUACGUGGUAGGCCAUACUAGACCAACUAACUUCACUGGAGAGACAGCGGCAGGAGAUUAUCUAAGAGACGCUUAGCAAGGAUCCAAACAGUUUAUCCAAUCUAAGAUCA
This is a long non-coding RNA of Raphanus sativus (radish), 2397 nucleotides long. RefSeq lists it as uncharacterized. The transcript is spliced from 9 exons. Lineage: Eukaryota; Viridiplantae; Streptophyta; Magnoliopsida; Brassicales; Brassicaceae. The record is from RefSeq and is a predicted model, not a curated record.